Non-coding RNA from Oryza meridionalis, 193 nucleotides. NCBI's taxonomy places the organism in Eukaryota, Viridiplantae, Streptophyta, Magnoliopsida, Poales, Poaceae. The record is from Rfam.
UUUAAGUGCAAUCAUAAGUUUUUCAUCUAACUUUGAUCGUCCGUCCUAUUUAAAAUUUUUUUAUAAUUAGUAUUUUUGUUAUUAUGAUAUGAUAAAACAUGAAUAAUACUUUACUCAUGACUUAUGUUUUUGAAUUUUUUUCAAAUAAGACAGACGGUUAAAGUUAGACGAAAAAACCAUUGUUACACUUGAA